RNAcentral lists this ribosomal RNA (403 nucleotides) under uncultured bacterium. RNAcentral describes it as "bacterial SSU rRNA". It matches the Rfam family "Bacterial small subunit ribosomal RNA", at positions 356 to 776 of the family's 1533-position model. The record is from RNAcentral.
GGGGAAUAUUGGACAAUGGGCGAAAGCCUGAUCCAGCAAUGCCGCGUGAGUGAUGAAGGCCUUAGGGUUGUAAAGCUCUUUUACCAGGGAUGAUAAUGACAGUACCUGGAGAAUAAGCUCCGGCUAACUCCGUGCCAGCAGCCGCGGUAAUACGGAGGGAGCUAGCGUUGUUCGGAAUUACUGGGCGUAAAGCGCACGUAGGCGGCUUUUCAAGUCAGGGGUGAAAUCCCGGGGCUCAACCCCGGAACUGCCCUUGAAACUGGAUGGCUAGAAUACUGGAGAGGUGAGUGGAAUUCCGAGUGUAGAGGUGAAAUUCGUAGAUAUUCGGAAGAACACCAGUGGCGAAGGCGACUCACUGGACAGUUAUUGACGCUGAGGUGCGAAAGCGUGGGGAGCAAACAGG